UUAACUCUAAUUUGUAUGGAGUCGGAACGUUUGCCUACGUUUGGCGCUAGAGACGCUGUUCCAACUACAUACAAAUUUGCGUUA
Non-coding RNA from Bombyx mori (domestic silkworm), 84 nucleotides. NCBI's taxonomy places the organism in Eukaryota, Metazoa, Arthropoda, Insecta, Lepidoptera, Bombycidae. The record is from Rfam.